GAGAGAGAGAGAGAGAGAGAGCAUUCACAUGAUGAUACAUUAAGUGAUGGUCAGUUGUCGGUACCACUACAAUUAAUGGGUUUCUUUUGUGGUCUUGAAAACCAGCAAAGCAUCUCGACACAAGGGAAGAGAUAAAGUUGAAGCGCGGAGGGCAAGCGACAGUGUUCCGUUUCCGGGGAUUGGUGGGUGACCCUAAUCUGCCUGCUCCACCUCCUUCCACGGCACGGCGAUAAAGUGAUUGGUGGGAACAUGCUCCUCGAGAAGUAAGACCAUGCCGACUUAGGUUUUCCAUUAUCCAACUGUUUCACUGUAGGACCGCUAAUCUCCAUUUGAUCUUUUUCAUCGGUUGAGUUGUCAUCAUCUCAGUUGCUGUUCUUUGAAAUGCAGCAAGAUGCUUUAAGAUCUUUCAGGUGUCCACCAUGUUCUAUUGUAGCCAAAGCAUAAUAGCCACAGCAUCGCAAGCUUUAGAUCUCAAAAAUUUUGAUGACCUAACAGUACGGUUGAAACGGUGGUGAGAUAUACAAUCAUUGUAUAAACAGAUGGCAGGAGAAAUGCAUGUAUAUCUUCUAGUGCCAGACAGGUAUAUAUGCUUCAUUCACCAUGGUGGCUGCUGCUGCAAGAUUGAUGCCCAGGUGUUAUAUGCUUCACCAUGGUGCCUACAGCUAUAAAGACUAAUGUCCAGGGUUUUGGAUUCUCCAAUUUUCCAUCAUGCUCGGGUGGUUGACUCAGAUAACCAGAUGUUGACGGAUUUGCCUGCCCUCCAUUGUGGUACAGAAGGAUUGGAAAUCCUGCCUUCCACUAAGUCUUGUCACAAUCUCAAAGUCACCAAAUCCUGCACGAACCUCGAAGCAUGAUGGAUGUUGAUCAUGUAUCAGUAUCAGGAUGGACAUGCUGGAGGACCCUAACUCAGUGACAAAAGCCAUCUUCAAGCUGCUUGGUUUAGGACCUGGCGGUCUUGCUAUUAGUCUGCUGCACUCAUUGGCUGAAACCCCCCAACUGUUGAUGGAUUGUUGCAGACUGAUAUAUAAUAGCUUGGAAGAUUGGCUUCUUCUCUGUGAUGUACCUCCUUCAAAACAAGAAGUUUCAGGUUUGUCUCCUCUUUUGGUUCCUGUCUUAGCGGCGAUGCAAAACGAACGAUCUUGAUGAACAUGCAUCACGUAGUGAACUGUGUGGUUUGUAAUGAUGUGGUCUCUCGUAGGUUUGAUGUGAUGAGAUUGAGAUUUAUGGGACUUUUGAGUGACCAUAUAUCAUAUCUAUUAUAAAAGUAAAAUAUAUUACGUA
Molecule: long non-coding RNA, 1281 nt
Organism: Musa acuminata AAA Group (dessert banana)
Lineage: Eukaryota; Viridiplantae; Streptophyta; Magnoliopsida; Zingiberales; Musaceae
Exons: 5
Source: RefSeq, a predicted model, not a curated record